AUGUCAGCGGUUCGAGUCCGCUUAUCUCCAGCCCGUGAACUUAGCGGAUACUAUGAUAGCGAUAGCACCGAAUUUUGCCAAUUCGGCAGUUCGAUCUAUGAUUUCACAUUCAUGGACGUUGAUAAGAUCCUUCCAUUUAGUAGCACCUUAGGAUGGCAUAGCCUUAACGUUAAUGGCGAGGUUCGAAAGAGGAAAGGCUUGCGGUGGAUACCUAGGCACCCAGAGACGAGGAAGGGCGUAGUAAGGGAAAGGGAUUGACGGGGGCCCGCACAAGCGGUGGAGCAUGUGGUUUAA
This 294-nucleotide ribosomal RNA is filed under the name Triticum aestivum (bread wheat). RNAcentral describes it as "partial small subunit ribosomal RNA". The record is from RNAcentral. Lineage: Eukaryota; Viridiplantae; Streptophyta; Magnoliopsida; Poales; Poaceae.